GAUGAACGCUCGCGGCGUGCCUAAUACAUGCAAGUCGAGCGAACAGACGAGGAGCUUGCUCCUCUGACGUUAGCGGCGGACGGGUGAGUAACACGUGGAUAACCUACCUAUAAGACUGGGAUAACUUCGGGAAACCGGAGCUAAUACCGGAUAAUAUAUUGAACCGCAUGGUUCAAUAGUGAAAGACGGUUUUGCUGUCACUUAUAGAUGGAUCCGCGCCGCAUUAGCUAGUUGGUAAGGUAACGGCUUACCAAGGCAACGAUGCGUAGCCGACCUGAGAGGGUGAUCGGCCACACUGGAACUGAGACACGGUCCAGACUACUACGGGAGGCAGCAGUAGGGAAUCUUCCGCAAUGGGCGAAAGCCUGACGGAGCAACGCCGCGUGAGUGAUGAAGGUCUUCGGAUCGUAAAACUCUGUUAUUAGGGAAGAACAAAUGUGUAAGUAACUAUGCACGUCUUGACGGUACCUAAUCAGAAAGCCACGGCUAACUACGUG
RNAcentral lists this ribosomal RNA (497 nucleotides) under uncultured bacterium. RNAcentral describes it as "partial 16S ribosomal RNA". It matches the Rfam family "Bacterial small subunit ribosomal RNA", at positions 28 to 507 of the family's 1533-position model. The record is from RNAcentral.